GACGAACGCUGGCGGCGUGCCUAAUACAUGCAAGUAGAACGCUGAAGGAGGAGCUUGCUUCUCUGGAUGAGUUGCGAACGGGUGAGUAACGCGUAGGUAACCUGCCUGGUAGCGGGGGAUAACUAUUGGAAACGAUAGAUAAUACCGCAUAAUAGUAGAUGUUGCAUGACAUUUGCUUAAAAGGUGCAAUUGCAUCACUACCAGAUGGACCUGCGUUGUAUGGGUUAGUUGGGGCGGUAACGGCUCACCAAGGCGACGAUACCUGGCCGACCUGCGAGGGUGGGCGGGCAGGCUGGGACGGAGGCACGGCCCAGAGGCCUACGGGAGGCAGCAGUAAGCAAGCUUCGGCAAGGAACGGAAGUCUGACCAACCAACGCCGCAUGAGUGAACAAGGUUUUCGUAUCAUAAAGCUCUGUUGUAAGAGAAGAACGAGUAUUAGAGUGGAAAGUUCACACUGUGACGGUAUCUUACCAGAAAGGGACGACUAACUACGU
RNAcentral lists this ribosomal RNA (494 nucleotides) under uncultured bacterium. Its description in RNAcentral is "partial 16S ribosomal RNA". It matches the Rfam family "Bacterial small subunit ribosomal RNA", at positions 28 to 506 of the family's 1533-position model. The record is from RNAcentral.